Molecule: long non-coding RNA, 916 nt
Organism: Toxorhynchites rutilus septentrionalis
Lineage: Eukaryota; Metazoa; Arthropoda; Insecta; Diptera; Culicidae
Exons: 3
Source: RefSeq, a predicted model, not a curated record
UCCUUUUGAAAAUCCAUACUGUCAUGCCUAUUCCCCAAAUACGUAACAUCGAAAAUUCGUUGGUCGAAAAUACAGAAUGAUUAACAAAACGAAUCGGCAUCACUUUUUCUUCAACGAUGAACUGCCAUCUCACACCAAAACAACCGGAUCAUAUAACUGGUGAGUAUAGAAUCUUUUUCUGAUUUUCAUUUUAUUUUAUUUUUCAGUUUGGAGUUUGUGGAAUAGAUAGGUUUUUACUUUAUGAAUCUGGAACGAACGGAUUGCUACCGGCGGCAUUUCUGAACGCAAUUGGGUCCAACACGGAAGCUAAACUAGUUCAUAUGCAUACGGACUACGUUGCCCAGAAGCAGGCACAACAAGCAAUGAAUUUCGAUACGGAACAACUGAGCAGAUGCAUAUCAGUGAAAGUUUAUUCCGUUCUGAGACAUUUCUACCAACGAAGUAAGGACACGAACGGUAUUGAAUUGAAUGAUGCUAAGCCAGAUCAACAGUGUGGGGAGACUGACGGUGUAGAUUCGCCACAGGUGGAAAUUAAUCACAAACGCAAGAUGUGACAUUAUCAGAUUCUCCCAAAGUGGUUUCUUACCAGCUAUGAAUACACCCGUUCGGAUGAUGUGGCUUUUUUGCUUCCAUCAACUGCAGUCAACAGCAUCGGCUUUCCCGUAGCAGUAUCCUUCAAGCCAUGGUGGCUGUUCCAGGGGACAACAUCAACAGCAGCAGCAUCUGGACCUGACCAUCGAUAGUGUUUCGAGCAACUUUCCAUAUCGGAGAUCUCGUGCUUCGCGCACAUUGAAGAAACCUCCUCAGCCACAUAUGUGUGUCAAGGAGAAAAAGGAGCUGGAUUCGAAUCGUCAAUCCAGACAACCCGAAUGCACCGAUUGCAUUAUAUAUCUUGUUUAUAUUUUAUAUGCAUUUU